GCUCCGUGCCCCCGCUCAGAGGCGACCCCGAUACCAGGGCUGCCCUCAGCCCCUUCUGUAUCCCGAGGGCGGUAAUGCGGCUCCUGCACCCCAGCAGCGCAUCGGACCCGGGAACCCCAGCUGCGGGCAGGAUGGAAGUGAUGUGGAGAGCCCUGCCUGCCCUGUGGUACGGGGGCUGCAGUCAGGAGGCAAGGAGGAGCAAAGGAGGAGAAUGUUGCCUCAUCCUCUGCUCACAACAAGCCCAGGCCACCUGGCAUGGGAGCGGUAUGGGCAUAGCAGGGAGCGUGUGAAUCACCUUGGACGUGCUGCAGUUCUGUGAAGAAGAGGUGUGUGUUUGUGUUGGAAGUGCUGUAAUGUUUGGCACACUGAGACUUCUACCUGCUCACCAUGACUGGUAUUCCCUGUUCUGCAAGACUGGGAGAAAAAGAGCAUAUGCAAUGAAAUGGAUCCUUGGGUUUUGGAUCUUGAGGUGACCUUGACUCCACAAAUCUCCUGAACAAUUAAACUACAGAACAGUUGAUUGCUUCUUUGUUUGUGUGGCAAUAAAUUAUGGAAUAAGAUAAAAGGAGCCUUCAGAACCUACCCUUACUGGCUUUUUUUUUUUUCUUUUUGUGGAGAACACCACCACGAAAAUAUGCCAUAAUGUAAGAAAACGGUUUUAGUAUAUUUCUGACUUACUACUUGUCUAGCCAUGCAUUAUUUGCAAUUUACACUAUUCUGAAGCAUGAGCAUUGUGUGGAACUAUUGGUGUGUACGGGAAGACUUAGUGAGGUUAAAAGUGCAGAGGAGACCA
This is a long non-coding RNA of Melospiza melodia melodia, 793 nucleotides long. RefSeq lists it as uncharacterized. The record is from RefSeq and is a predicted model, not a curated record. The transcript is spliced from 3 exons. Lineage: Eukaryota; Metazoa; Chordata; Aves; Passeriformes; Passerellidae.